ACGUGCUAAUACCGCAUACNCCCCGUUCGGGGGAAAGAUUUAUCGCUGUUUGAGGGUCCUGCGUUCGAUUAGCUAGUUGGUGAGGUAACGGCCCACCAAGGCGACGAUCGAUAGCUGGUCUGAGAGGAUGAUCAGCCACACUGGGACUGAGACACCGGCCCAGACUCCUACGGGGAGGCAGCAGGUGGGAAUAUUGGACAUGGGGGAAACCCUGAUCCAGCAAUGCCGCGUGCGUGAAGAAGGCCUUAGGGUUGUAAAGCGCUUUCACCUGUGAUGAUGAUGACAGUAGCAGGAGAAGAAGCCCCGGCUAACUCCGUG
Molecule: ribosomal RNA, 318 nt
Filed under: uncultured bacterium
Lineage: Bacteria
Description: bacterial SSU rRNA
Rfam family: Bacterial small subunit ribosomal RNA
Source: RNAcentral